GAUGAACGCUAGCUACAGGCUUAACACAUGCAAGUCGCGGGGCAGCAUGGGGGUUGCUUGCAAUCCCCGAUGGCGACCGGCGCACGGGUGAGUAACGCGUAUCCAACCUGCCCUUCACCACGGGAUAACCCGGCGAAAGUCGGACUAAUACCGUAUGUUGUCCAUUGACGGCAUCCGAUUUGGACGAAAGGUUUGGCGGUGAAGGAUGGGGAUGCGCCCGAUUAGCUGGACGGCGGGGUGACGGCCCACCGUGGCGACGAUCGGUAGGGGUUCUGAGAGGAAGGUCCCCCACACUGGAACUGAGACACGGUCCAGACUCCUACGGGAGGCAGCAGUGAGGAAUAUUGGUCAAUGGGCGUAAGCCUGAACCAGCUAAGUAGCGUGCAGGAUGACGGCCCUAUGGGUUGUAAACUGCUUUUAUGCGGGGAUAAAGUGGCCCACGUGUGGGUUUUUGCAGGUACCGCAUGAAUAAGGACCGGCUAAUUCCGUG
Molecule: ribosomal RNA, 490 nt
Filed under: uncultured bacterium
Lineage: Bacteria
Description: partial 16S ribosomal RNA
Rfam family: Bacterial small subunit ribosomal RNA
Source: RNAcentral